AAGUCGUAACAAGGUCUCCGUUGGUGAACCAGCGGAGGGAUCAUUACAGAGUUGCAAAACUCCCCAAACCAUUGUGAACCUUACCUUCUACCGUUGCUUCGGCGGGCGGGCCACAGCGCCCCCCGGGCCCCCUCGGGGGCGCCCGCCGGAGGAUAACCGAACUCUUGAUAUUCAUGGCCUCUCUGAGUCUUCUGUACUGAAUAAGUCAAAACUUUCAACAACGGAUCUCUUGGUUCUG
RNAcentral lists this unclassified non-coding RNA (238 nucleotides) under Acrophialophora jodhpurensis. Its description in RNAcentral is "partial internal transcribed spacer region". The stretch from base 1 to 46 matches the Rfam family "Eukaryotic small subunit ribosomal RNA", at positions 1786 to 1831 of the family's 1831-position model. RNAcentral also lists the same sequence under 1 other name. The record is from RNAcentral. Lineage: Eukaryota; Fungi; Ascomycota; Sordariomycetes; Sordariales; Chaetomiaceae.